The sequence is a transfer RNA, 73 nucleotides long. It matches the Rfam family "tRNA". Rfam says of the family: Transfer RNA (tRNA) molecules are approximately 80 nucleotides in length. The record is from Rfam.
GCUGUUAUAGCACAGAUGGUAGUGCACUACAUUGGUAGUGUAGAGGUCACGGGUUCGAUUCCCGUUAACAGCU